This is a long non-coding RNA of Solenopsis invicta (red fire ant), 3734 nucleotides long. RefSeq lists it as uncharacterized. The record is from RefSeq and is a predicted model, not a curated record. The transcript has 3 exons. NCBI's taxonomy places the organism in Eukaryota, Metazoa, Arthropoda, Insecta, Hymenoptera, Formicidae.
ACGCAGUGCUGAUAAAAGCGUCAACGGGGAAUGCACAGCCAAUGUGCGUAUCACGUUUGUCAAAGACUAAUCGGGAACGCAAAUAGAUGCACGAAAUCGUACAUUGACGAUUAAUUAUGGAUGACCCGAUUAACGAGGCAGUCCUUUCGUGUCACGUAACCCAGUGGCUAGAAACGGAACGGUCGUGAAAUCAACUAUCCAAACCAAAUGCUUAAGCAGCGAUUUCCAACAGUUAUCCUGACCAGUUACCGUGUCGGAGGUAAACGCAUUAUUCGCACGAAAGUACACCAGUUGUAGCUCGGAUUUUGCUAUUAGGGAAAAGGAGACUCAACCUGUGUUUGCGCAAUUAUCGAUCGGCUCAACCCUAUUAUACAUUUGUAACGGUGAACUAUCUCUAUCUCUUUCUUCAAUGAUCGGGCAAUUCAUGCUUCGACUCAGCUCAAUCGUUUCGAGACGCAUAAAAAACGUUUCGAAAAAUAAGACGAGCGUCUCUCUUAAUUGACUACCUAGCUCCCAUUUUUAUAUUUUAAGAUCUUUACCAAGCUUUGUCAAUUUACAUAGAUUUUUGACAAUGUAAGCGUGUGUAAGUGAAUUUUUUCUUUUUCUUUUUUGUCUAUUCCCUUCAGUUACUCAUUUUAUAAUUAUUUUGCACCGUAUAAAUAAAUUUUCUGGAAAGAACUCUUAUAUAUGAACGAUCGUGUUUCCUAAAGAAGUGAUUCAAUAUUGUUUACCGGCUCAUUUGAAAAGAACUUGAACCUUGGAACGAAACAUUGUGAACAAGUUUAAUCAAUGAACAAUUCACCAGUUUGUCAACUAAAUUUGGAAUUAUUUAUUAUUAAAGAAUAAAUUUACGGGAAAGUCGUCGGGAAACAAAGCUGCGCAACACAGCAGUAAUUUUAUAUCAAGAAGAAGAAGAAGAAGGAGAAGAAGAAGAGUUUGAAUCAUGCUGGAUGGAAGCUCAAGUUACGUGCAAUCAUUAGCAGCAAACUUUGAAAGAUAAACUCUGGACGUUGAACACGAUCCUCAAUUGAACAAAGAAGUGUCGAACGCUAAGCGCGCUGUAGACAAUGAGAAGAGGCGAGAGUACAAGGUGAUCUCCAAUACGUACAGAACGGCCCGACAAGUGGAUUACGCGGAAAGCGUUCCGCGAAAUUGAGACUUCGCGCGACGUCGGCGUACACGGAACGGCAAUUGGCCGGUUUACGUGAAAAUGGCCUUGGCGAGAGUGCCGGCGCGGCGACGACGGCUCCGUACCGCGUUGUCAUUCCCGGAAAAUCCAGUCACCGCGGUGUGACACGCGUAGGCACCUAAUUACCCCCGUCUUUCGUGCACGGCGCGUUUAAAAGCUGCCUCGUCCCGAACCGAUCGGGACCGCGGCGCGGAAAUUCGGCUCGCGUGCGAGAGAAGUCGUCGACGCUUUCCGCGAACUCGACUGACGUCCCGUAAAUUUCCCAUCGGGUCGCGAGGAUCGCCAUUACUAUGAUAAAACGUCAGUCAAAAGCCACGUUUCCGGGUUCUGGAGACGGUGAAUCAUCAUGAAUCGCGAUCGAAUUGAAUUUAGAGCGAAUGACACGCACAAAGGAAAAAAUUCUUUAACCUGGAGUGUUAAUUCAAUAGUGGAAAAAAAGUGUAAAGCAUUCUGAAAAGUAAAAAAAAAUCGUAAUUUUAUGAAUGAAUGCUCACCGAAGUGCCAAUUCAAGAGUUAAAUUCGGCACAAGGAGGGAAAACGGCGGUCUCUCGCGAAUGUCCAAGGAAAGAUUUUAGCCCGUGCAACCGCAACAUCAAAAAUAGAAGUGAUUACUGGCGCAGAAUCAAAAAUAGCAUGCGCAAAGAGACGCGCUCACAAUCUGUUUUGUUUCAUAAAUGUUAUCCGUAUGGAAGGCCAGCAAGAUUUGCGCUCGGACGCUGAGGUAAAAGCGAAACAGACCUAUAACAUGGACGGAGAAAUAACGGAUCUUCGAGAAGGAGCGAGAGAAAACCGGUUGUGGCGCCCGACCGAAUUUUUAUGCCGUCCAAGAUCCAGCUACAGCGCGUACGUAGUACUUCUUCUGGCACGUCACGCGAAUAAUCCACGCGGUUGCGCGCAUACCGGAGCCAAGGACUCCGCUGUGCCGUGGCAGGCACAGUCGUGCACCGCGUGUAAAGCCGCUCAUUCAUGAACAUCUCUCCCAACGAAUAGGAGUCUCGCUUAGGGAAUCUAGUGAUCGGUGACGUAGAGAAAGGUUCGAAUUCCAGAAUUAUCGCAGACGAGCUAGCAACGUGCCGGCGCAUCUUUUCGUUACCUGACGCACGUGACGAAUGCACGACCUGAUGCGCAGUUGGAAAAUUUCCUCUUAAACAUAUGUAUCGCAUGUCCCAAGCGGUCACACUUUUGUAAUAAUUUAACACAAGAUGAAUAUGUUAGAAAGUAACACAAAUAUCAUGUACAAAAUUUAUGCAAAAAUUGUAAUGUUUUGAUGCAAUUUGGAAAAAAAUUGUGGAGACGUAUUUCUUCAGUCAAAUUAACAUUUGUAAUAUGUCGAUGCGUACAUUUUACUCGUUUAUAUUUAAAAUUUACGCUUUAAAAUUACAUCUUUUUGUUAUUUGUUCAUUUACACAUGGAUUGUAUAUAUUGACACUAAUUGUAAGAAAUAUUAAUUUAACACAAAAUAUUUAAAUAACAUAAUCACAUUAUAUUAAAUUAACAUUCACGGGUAUGUUAAAAAUUCAACACAAAAAUUUUAAUAAGGGCUGUUUUUGUAUAAAUAAAAUACAAAAUGUAUUUUCUAGUGCGUAACUGUAUUUUCUGCACUUCAUGCAAAGAACAUUGGGAGCGUCGUUAAUUCAAAACAAAAUAAAAAAAUCAUUAUAACACUAAAAAAAAGUUUGAUGUUAAUGCUCAAAAACAUCAGCUGAUUGAAUAAUUCGAAUAUAUUUCGAAUUUCAAAAUCAAACGUUAAAUAGUUCGGACUGAAGGUAUUCGAAGUUGUUUGAACUCACUUCACAUCUAAAAGUUCAAAAUUAUUAUAGUUCAACCCUAAAUUUUCUAAAGCAUUAGUGUCUCUUAUAUAAAAAUCUCUUAUAUUAAAUCCUGAUAGUCAAAUUUGUUGCCUCUAUUAUGAGAUGCCGAUUGAUUUUCAAGAAAUCGAACGUCGCGUGUACGACUUCACGUCAUACGCCGAUAUCGUCGUGCACUUUAACAAUUAAUGUAAUAUUUUUUAUGAAGUUUCAUAUAUAUCAUCUUUGUGUGUUAUGGAGAGUGUUACGAAUUUUAAAGUUAAGAAACUAAACAGCGCACGUCCGUGCUGUCUAGUAGAAAGGAAUAGACACAUGGAAAACUGCUCUAUUAUUUUCAAAGCACACUGCGUUUCCAAUCUUCUUUACUGUUCGAAUAUCCAAACAUUAGAAAUCAAUAACUUAUUGAGAGCGACAAUUCUAUAUUAACAACGUAAUAGCUAUCAAAUUAUUGGUCCGCUAGUAGUAUUAAGUUAACCUUGUCGCAUUAAGAAACGAAAGUUGGCUAUUUUGAAGGUCUAUACGGAGUCUUUAACAAUUAAUCAAGAAUUAAUUAUAAUAAAUCGAUAUUACAGGCACGAUCACUGCACUGUCCGAAAUUCGGUUGGAUGCGCUUCUUUUACUUCAAAUUAUUUAAGCAGAUUGGACAUACAAUAUAUUCAAAUCUUUUGUCGGAUCUCUAAAUUCGAAGUAAUGUCAAAAAAUGUCUCUAAAAUUAUUAAAAGUCACUUUUCGAUUAA